AUUGAACGCUGGCGGCAUGCCUUACACAUGCAAGUCGAACGGCAGCGGGCCUUCGGGUGCCGGCGAGUGGCGAACGGGUGAGUAAUGCAUCGGAACGUGCCAUUGAGUGGGGGAUAACGUAGCGAAAGUUACGCUAAUACCGCAUAUUCUGUGAGCAGGAAAGCAGGGGAUCGCAAGACCUUGCGCUCUGGGAGCGGCCGAUGUCGGAUUAGCUAGUUGGUGGGGUAAAGGCCUACCAAGGCGACGAUCCGUAGCGGGUCUGAGAGGAUGAUCCGCCACACUGGGACUGAGACACGGCCCAGACUCCUACGGGAGGCAGCAGUGGGGAAUUUUGGACAAUGGGCGCAAGCCUGAUCCAGCCAUGCCGCGUGAGUGAAGAAGGCCUCGGUGUAAGACUCUUUCGGU
Molecule: ribosomal RNA, 405 nt
Filed under: uncultured bacterium
Lineage: Bacteria
Description: bacterial SSU rRNA
Rfam family: Bacterial small subunit ribosomal RNA
Source: RNAcentral